RNAcentral lists this microRNA precursor (83 nucleotides) under Capitella teleta. Its description in RNAcentral is "microRNA cte-mir-2685 precursor". The record is from miRBase by way of RNAcentral. Lineage: Eukaryota; Metazoa; Annelida; Polychaeta; Capitellidae.
GCUUGCGAAUCUUGUGAUCUUUCGAGGGUUGUAGUUGACGUGUUUUGGUUUUAUAACUCAGUAAGAUCACAGGCCUUGCAUUU